RNAcentral lists this small RNA (728 nucleotides) under Rattus norvegicus (Norway rat). RNAcentral's name for it is "uncharacterized LOC102551810". The record is from RNAcentral. Lineage: Eukaryota; Metazoa; Chordata; Mammalia; Rodentia; Muridae.
CUGUGGUUAUAAGCCGGAAGUAAACUUGGGUGUCUUCUUCAGUCAGACUCCACCAUAUAUCUUGAGACAGAUUGUUUCACUGAAACUGGAUCAUACCAGUUUUGUCUACUACAACACUGGUUGGCCAGAUUGUUGACAGUGACUGAAGACAUACAAUGAAGAAAAGACAUUAUCAUCAACAAAUGGGCUAAUGUGUUCAACAGAACAUAGGUGGCUAAGAGAAUCAAAAUACAUCUUUAGAAUUCAAACUACCAUCACCAUGGCUUGUGCGAUGAAUGCACUCAGGACUGACUUUUCAUUAUUAUCCCUUCAAAUCUCGACAAGACCUUAAAUGAUAGGUCAGAAGGCAUGGUUUACAAACACUCUACUCUUCCUAAACUUCAGGUACAAAAUGAAGAAGUAGGCAAGCUUUUCAGAUGAUUGAAUAUUGGAAGGAGCCUGUUGAAGUCAGAAAGCACAUGCACUUAAGCACCAGUGUUGGUAAUUCAGUCUCAAGGCAAAACAAGCACUUAACUCAUCCCAUGUCUCCUCCCCCUGUCUCCAAGAGGAUGCUCAUGGGAUGAACUGUGGGGUGGAGGGAAUGGGACAGUGACAACAUCUGGACUUUAAAAAAUAAAAGUAAUAAGGAAAUAGAACUCAUAAUUUUUUAUUUUCUAUUCUAAAUAGGCUAUUUUUAGAUCAAUUUUGUGGCUUAAAUGGAAUAAGAAAUGACUAAUUAGAUAACUGUA